GCCCGGUUAGCACAGCUGGUAGUGCGUCCGAUUUGUAAUCGGGAGGUCAUCCGUUCGAGCCGGAUACCGGGCA
This 73-nucleotide transfer RNA is filed under the name Sphingomonas sp. CFBP 8760. It matches the Rfam family "tRNA". From Rfam's summary of the family: Transfer RNA (tRNA) molecules are approximately 80 nucleotides in length. The record is from Rfam by way of RNAcentral. Lineage: Bacteria; Pseudomonadati; Pseudomonadota; Alphaproteobacteria; Sphingomonadales; Sphingomonadaceae.